AGAGUUUGAUCCUGGCUCAGGACGAACGCUGGCGGCGUGCUUAACACAUGCAAGUCGAACGCUGAUCCAUCUUCGGGUGGUGAGGAGUGGCGAACGGGUGAAUAACACGUGGGCAACCUGCCCCCGGCUCUGGGAUAACUCCAAGAAAUUGGGGCUAAUACCGGAUGUGACCGCUGGCCGCAUGGUCUGGUGGUGGAAAGGGUUUCCGGCUGGGGAUGGGCCCGCGGCCUAUCAGCUUGUUGGUGGGGUAGUGGCCUACCAAGGCGACGACGGGUAGCCGGCCUGAGAGGGUGACCGGCCACACUGGGACUGAGACACGGCCCAGACUCCUACGGGAGGCAGCAGUGGGGAAUAUUGGACAAUGGGCGAAAGCCUGAUCCAGCAACGCCGCGUGAGGGAUGACGGCCUUCGGGUUGUAAACCUCUUUCAGCGGGGACGAAGCGAAAGUGACGGUACCCGCAGAAGAAGCACCGGCCAACUACGUGCCAGCAGCCGCGGUAACACGUAGGGUGCAAGCGUUGUCCGGAAUUAUUGGGCGUAAAGGGCUCGUAGGCGGUCCGUCACGUCGGGAGUGAAAACUCGGGGCUCAACCCCGAGCCUGCUUUCGAUACGGGCGGACUAGAGGUAGGUAGGGGAGAACGGAAUUCCUGGUGUAGCGGUGGAAUGCGCAGAUAUCAGGAGGAACACCGGUGGCGAAGGCGGUUCUCUGGGCCUUACCUGACGCUGAGGCGCGAGAGCGUGGGGAGCGAACCGGAUUAGAUACCCCGGUAGUCC
This 774-nucleotide ribosomal RNA is filed under the name uncultured Geodermatophilus sp. RNAcentral describes it as "bacterial SSU rRNA". It matches the Rfam family "Bacterial small subunit ribosomal RNA", at positions 8 to 796 of the family's 1533-position model. The record is from RNAcentral. Lineage: Bacteria; Bacillati; Actinomycetota; Actinomycetes; Geodermatophilales; Geodermatophilaceae.